RNAcentral lists this ribosomal RNA (253 nucleotides) under uncultured bacterium. RNAcentral describes it as "partial 16S ribosomal RNA". It matches the Rfam family "Bacterial small subunit ribosomal RNA", at positions 524 to 776 of the family's 1533-position model. The record is from RNAcentral.
UACGUAGGGGGCAAGCGUUGUUCGGAAUUACUGGGCGUAAAGGGUUUGUAGGUGGCCAACUAAGUCAGACGUGAAAUCCCUCAGCUUAACUGGGGAACUGCGUCUGAUACUGGUUGGCUUGAGUGCAGGAGAGGAACGCGGAAUUCCAGGUGUAGCGGUGAAAUGCGUAGAUAUCUGGAGGAACACCGGUGGCGAAGGCGGCGUUCUGGACUGCAACUGACACUGAGAGACGAAAGCCAGGGUAGCAAACGGG